CUGGUUGAUCCUGCCAGUAGUCAUAUGCUAGUCUCAAAGAUUAAGCCAUGCAUGUGUAAGUAUGAACUAAUUCAGACUGUGAAACUGCGAAUGGCUCAUUAAAUCAGUUAUAGUUUGUUUGAUAGUACCUUACUACUUGGAUAACCGUGGUAAUUCUAGAGCUAAUACAUGCUAAAAACCUCGACUUCGGAAGGGGUGUAUUUAUUAGAUAAAAAACCAAUGCCCUUCGGGGCUCCUUGGUGAUUCAUGAUAACUUAACGAAUCGCAUGGCCUUGUGCCGGCGAUGGUUCAUUCAAAUUUCUGCCCUAUCAACUUUCGAUGGUAGGAUAGUGGCCUACCAUGGUUUCAACGGGUAACGGGGAAUUAGGGUUCUAUUCCGGAGAGGGAGCCUGAGAAACGGCUACCACAUCCAAGGAAGGCAGCAGGCGCGCAAAUUACCCAAUCCCGACACGGGGAGGUAGUGACAAUAAAUACUGAUACAGGGCUCUUUUGGGUCUUGUAAUUGGAAUGAGUACAAUUUAAAUCCCUUAACGAGGAACAAUUGGAGGGCAAGUCUGG
This 558-nucleotide ribosomal RNA is filed under the name uncultured Hyphozyma. RNAcentral describes it as "SSU rRNA". It matches the Rfam family "Eukaryotic small subunit ribosomal RNA", at positions 4 to 564 of the family's 1831-position model. Lineage: Eukaryota; Fungi; Ascomycota. The record is from RNAcentral.